Gallus gallus (chicken) is the source of this 2065-nucleotide long non-coding RNA. Lineage: Eukaryota; Metazoa; Chordata; Aves; Galliformes; Phasianidae. The record is from Ensembl.
GUGGGUAAACUCUGUUUUCUGGUCUUUUGGUCAGCGGUGGGAAACAUUCAUAGUGAUUUAAGAAAAGAUCAACAGGCUAGAUAAGAAUUUGUUAUCUUCCAGAUGGCAGGUUCCAAAAGCAGAGAAGAGUGCGGCUUCUGUCAGGUGUGGGCCAGGAAUUACCAAGAAAUUUAACUCCGUUCCAAAAAUGUUAACCAUAUUGUUCACGCUCAGCAGCGAGGGGGCCUGUAGCUGCUGCGAGAUUAACCUUCUGACCCCAACAAGAGUUUAGACCAGCCUGUCAAAAGCAUUAUGCUUGAAGGCAGUAAUCAUUCUUUAUUAGAAGAACAGUGGCUUUGCCUUGGUUCCUGCUGCCUACCUAUGGAUCGCGUUUCAGUUGCAGGUCCACCUUUAGGAAAUGGCGUCUAGUUUAAUUAUUAACAACUGUGGAUUCCUAAAGGCUAUGCACAGACACUGCUCCAGGCCGGUCUAAUUCACUCUUAAAAAGCAAAAAGCAGCCCAUUGUGAAAAUGUACUGAUCUGGUCUAACAGCGAUUUUUCCUAGGGCUGCUAAGGAGGUGAUAGUAACCUAUUUCAGAGCAGGUAAAUAUUUUCAAUAAUGGAAUUGGGAAAAGUUUUGAUUUAUAUUUUCAAGCAAACGUAAGAGCUGAGGUUUUAGAAUGGCUGCACAUCUCUGCAUGGCCACUGCUCUUGGAUCAGGCUAUUGAUCUAUCCUGUGGAAGUUGCUGCUCUUAAGAAAGCAGCAGUGAAAUUGUUGCAGCCUUGGUGGUCCGGAGAAGCGCUUUGAGAGAGCAGUAACAGCCCCUACAGCUGUAAAAUGGGAGCAAGCUUUUGGGCCUGGAAGCACUUCAAUGGGAUUGCACAGUCAUCGGCUGAUGCCAGGGCUCAGCUUCCACAGCUUGGUUGAUCUCUGGCUGCACCAUCAUGUCUCCCAAGACAAGUUAUGGUCGUAAUCGUUUUCCAGAAUUGAAGAGGAUGCAAUAUUUUUGAUCUAACAAGAGCUCUGAAGCUGGAUUUACAUUACCAAACUGUGGCCUGGAUUCUUCCUGGGUCUCUGGAUAACCUGAGACACAGCUCUAGUAAGUCCCUUUCACCUGUAGUUUGGUGCCUUUAAACCACAUUGGCUGUGACUGAAUACCGCUGCUGUCCCUCUCCUCCUGACACUUCUCUUCAUCCAGUUGCUCCUCAGUUGAGUGGUCUUUGCAGGCUGCCUUCCCCAGGAAAGAAUCAUUCCUGAGCUGUAAGAGCCCAGCCCUGGCUAUGUGCAGUGGUACACAGAUGUUCUACAACAUGCCUGGAAGCAGUCCAGCAAUAUUCGCACAUCACUGGAUUUAACAGUUUCAGAUGUCUCCACAUCAUGUUCCCCAUCAUGUCUGAAUCUGUUCCCAUGGGAAGGCAGACACCCCAGACAGAAAGGCCAGGCAGGAUGGAAGGAAAGCCUGUCAUCUGGAACCUUCCUCCCCCAGGCACCUGCAGUGCCCCAAGGACAAGGUCUCAAGGACUGUUCCUCUUCGAGCACAGGCAGAGAGCAGUCUCCAGCUGCCAGUUCUGCUCUCCAUCUCCUUCAGCUUUCUGAUGAGCACUGUUUCCCAGUGAUUGUGACGGCCCACAAGAACUUUCAGCUGUUGGUCCUUCAGGUCACCGUGGGCUUUUUGUCUGUCCGUGGCUGUGAGAACAGCUCCUGCAAUUUGGAAUUGACCAACCUGUGCAGCCUACCCCGGGGCUGAGCUGCUGGCUGCAGCAGAGGAUGGGUUUGUGCUGCAAGGAGCAGUGCUCAGCGGAAGCCCAUCUGGUGCAAGGUUUUCAAGCUGCUUUGCUCAGCCACUUGAGUGUGCCACUCCAUUCCCAGCACUUCUCUGCAUGGAGAGACUGGGCUGGGCAUUGCAGAGAUGUUUUCUUCAUGAGAAGGACUUUCCCGAGACACUGCAGCUGGUGGAAGGGCUGAGUAAAGGUGGUAAUGCCACUAGUUCUGGGAGACGUAUUGCUUCACUCUGUCAGUGAGUGUAAAUCCACCACUGCUAUGAACAUUGCACAAGCACAUCCCUUCUUGGAAAAUAAAAGUCCG